Molecule: long non-coding RNA, 208 nt
Filed under: Elaeis guineensis (African oil palm)
Lineage: Eukaryota; Viridiplantae; Streptophyta; Magnoliopsida; Arecales; Arecaceae
Description: long non-coding RNA (EGUI_LNC059458)
Source: RNAcentral
GGUAUGGGUGUGUCCUGCUUAUAAAGCACAAGUCCAAAUCGGUUGAAAUAUUCAAAUGAUUUCAUAAUGAGGUAGAAAAAUAAACUAUAAAAGUAUUAAAACUCAUCGAUUUGACUGAUGAAGUGAAUACCUUUAUAGUAAGUUUUAGACAUAUUUAGGAGAGAAUUGGAUCUCUCUUAAUGGAUAUCUCCUGGGAUACCAUAAUUUA